Non-coding RNA from Apis mellifera (honey bee), 78 nucleotides. Lineage: Eukaryota; Metazoa; Arthropoda; Insecta; Hymenoptera; Apidae. The record is from RefSeq and is marked provisional.
AACGGAGAGAAAGACGAAUAGCUGUGUGUCGCGACGGAGUGGAAAGGGACGCGCGGCUAUUCCUCUCUUUCUCCCUCC